UACGGAGGGUGCAAGCGUUAAUCGGAAUUACUGGGCGUAAAGCGCACGCAGGCGGUCUGUCAAGUCGGAUGUGAAAUCCCCGGGCUCAACCUGGGAACUGCAAUCGAAACUGGCAGGCUAGAGUCUUGUAGAGGGGGGUAGAAUUCCAGGUGUAGCGGUGAAAUGCGUAGAGAUCUGGAGGAAUACCGGUGGCGAAGGCGGCCCCCUGGACAAAGACUGACGCUCAGGUGCGAAAGCGUGGGGAGCAAACAGG
This 253-nucleotide ribosomal RNA is filed under the name uncultured bacterium. RNAcentral describes it as "partial 16S ribosomal RNA". It matches the Rfam family "Bacterial small subunit ribosomal RNA", at positions 524 to 776 of the family's 1533-position model. The record is from RNAcentral.